This is a long non-coding RNA of Frieseomelitta varia, 384 nucleotides long. RefSeq lists it as uncharacterized. Lineage: Eukaryota; Metazoa; Arthropoda; Insecta; Hymenoptera; Apidae. The transcript is spliced from 3 exons. The record is from RefSeq and is a predicted model, not a curated record.
UUCACGUGCCUUAUUGGAAAGCUCUUUUCAUCAUUGGAUUAUUGUGCGUUAAUAAACGAAUAACAUCAAUCAUCGUUAGUGAAAUGAAAUGGGAGACCUGCGGAUAUGUGUGCACGCUAACAUAUAUAAAUGAUAAGUUAACAUCGGAACCCGGAGCUUUCUGGAAAUCUUCCAUAGCCAAAUACAACGCGACAACAUAUGUACCUUGAGAGUUCAGAGGUUUAACUGUUUACACGCGUUCGCAAAUAUAGGUAUCGAAGCCAACCGAAGCGAAGAAUUGAUAAAUUAGUUAUUCCGUCAGUCGUCUGCUGCUGUUUCUCCAGGUACAUCGUGUGUGAAGAAAAUAACUGAAGGAAAUAUUCACAGCUAAAACUCCUCCUAAUU